UGGGGAAUUUUGGACAAUGGGCGCAAGCCUGAUCCAGCCAUGCCGCGUGCAGGAUGAAGGCCUUCGGGUUGUAAACUGCUUUUGUACGGAACGAAAAGGUGCCUUCUAAUAAAGGGCGCUCAUGACGGUACCGUAAGAAUAAGCACCGGCUAACUACGUGCCAGCAGCCGCGGUAAUACGAAGGGUGCAAGCGUUACUCGGAAUUACUGGGCGUAAAGCGUGCGUAGGCGGUUCGUUAAGUCUGUCGUGAAAGCCCUGGGCUCAACCUGGGAAUUGCGAUGGAUACUGGCGGUCUAGAUUACGGUAGAGGACGGUGGAAUUCCCGGUGUCGCGGUGAAAUGCGUAGAGAUCGGGAGGAACACCCGUGGCGAAGGCGGCCAUCUGGACCAGUACUGACGCUGAGGCACGAAAGCGUGGGGAGCAAACA
RNAcentral lists this ribosomal RNA (427 nucleotides) under uncultured bacterium. Its description in RNAcentral is "bacterial SSU rRNA". It matches the Rfam family "Bacterial small subunit ribosomal RNA", at positions 355 to 774 of the family's 1533-position model. The record is from RNAcentral.